CUUACUCUAUGUGUCACAUGGUGAAAUGGCAUACCCUUGACAGAUGUCAGUGUAGGGUCUUCUUAACUACUUAUCCUCUCUGAAUGGCAUGCAAACAAUGAGUUUCAAUCUAGCUGAUUGUUAUGCCUGAAUUGAGCAGAGAAAACUCCAGGCCCAUGUCAUAGCUAAACGAUGUAAAUAUGGUCUGAACUGAAGAGAUAUGCUCACAUCCGCCAUCUCUUGGCAAAAUGGAAUAUCUGAAUUUUGAGUAUACUGAAUUCAAUUCAGCAGAUGUAUCUCCCUGCUUUGCCAUGCAGCCUGCUGUCCUAGACACUUCAAGGGCUUAGAAAAUGAGUCCACAUUCUCUGUCUGUAAACAGACGUUUGUGACAUCACAGAUGUUACAUGCUCACAGCAGCUUGCCCGUUUUCUGGCUUGAACUUUUUUCACGUCAAAAAGACCAAUGCCUGGCCUUUUCUAGACAGAUAAACAACUCUGUACCUGGAACAAAAAGACAAACCUACCAGCUCCGUAGUUGCCUAACACUCCUCAGUGAGGAACCAAGUGGGCCCUGCCUGGAUGCUAAUGGCAAGUUUGGCUCUUGGGAGCUGAAACUAAAAGGGACAAUGUAUUGUGCUCAGAGGUACUAUACACAGGAGGAGCCUGAAGCUGACUAUGAGCCAAGUCUGUAGAGAGUACCCAAAGUCAAAGAUUCCUUUAAGUCUCCCAGUCUUCAAAACCAAAGGUGAAGCGUGGAACUGGAUCCGGAUGACAAAGCAGAAAGACGAGAACAUCCAAUAAUGAUGGCAAGUUGCAGCAGACACAGCCCCUGCCUGCACGCUGCCUGACCUCACCAGCACUUGGGCACCACAUCACCCAGGAAUACUACUCAGCUUGAUUGCAUACUCCUCAAACCCCUUUCCACAUAACCUGGUCAUUCAGAUUACCUGGGGCAUCAUCAGAAAACUACUUUAUCAGAGUAGUUCAUGAGAGAGGUGAAGUGACUUGGGCAAGUCAUAAUUGGUGACAGAACUAGAACUAAAAAUCAAAUUCCCUAAUUCCUAAUUCUCCACAUCCAUCCUUUUUUUUUUGAGGAAGAUUAGCCCUGAGCUAACUGCUGCCAAUCCUUCUCUUUUUGCUGAGGAAGACUGGACCUGAGCUAACAUCCGUGCCCAUCUUCCUCCACUUUACUCGUGGGGUGCCUACCACAGCAUGGCCUGCCAAGUGGUGCCAUGUCCAUACCCGGGAUCCGAACCGAUGAACCCUGGGCCACCGAAGCGGAAUGUGCGCACCUAACCGCUGUGCCACCGGGCUGGCCCCCACGUCCAUCCAUUUUACUCCCAGCUUCCCUGCUCUGAGUGAAUAUGACAAACUCAUCCCAUAAGAUCAACAAGCAGGACCAUGUUAACAGAGAAAGGGUUGAUAUUUGCGUAGCGUACAGAUUUUUCUGCAAACUAGCCACAAAUGCCAUCAACACAGGCCAUAUCUAGCUGUAAUUUUAUUUAAAUGUAGUUUACUUUCAUAAAAAAUUGUGUAGCAAUACAAAAUAGUAGUCUUAACAUUUUGAUCAAUUUAGCAGAUAAUGGGAUCAUGGGUACUGAGUAGUAUCACCAAAGACUACAAGGAAUCGUAUAAAAAUCAAGCUGUAGCAAAGAAAUUGCAAUGUGUCACUAUGUUUUUGGUAAUUGUAUCAUUCCAAAAUAAACCACUCAUGGGAUGAGGUUUUAUAUAGAACCCAUCUGGUGCUUGUAUCCACAACGGCCUUUUUUAAUAUUCACUCACAUUGGUG
RNAcentral lists this long non-coding RNA (1767 nucleotides) under Equus asinus (donkey). RNAcentral describes it as "lncRNA (ENSEASG00005033071.1)". Lineage: Eukaryota; Metazoa; Chordata; Mammalia; Perissodactyla; Equidae. The record is from RNAcentral.